CAUCGUGUUGGUUUGGUGUCGGGGUGAGAGGGUAAAAGAAAAUUUCAACUACUGGCAAACGCAUACAUUUUAUCUUAUUUCUUCUUUCUUCCGAGAAGAAACCUUUUCUUUGACUAUUAUUUAUGCUUUUGUUUCUUUUUGACAUUUAUUAUGUCCUUUUACAUUUGUUGGAAUCUCCAAAAUUCAGUUUGCCCUCUCUUGGGUUGCUUAGUAUAGGAAAGAAGCCCAAGCCAGCGUCUCUUAGAUCGCUUCCACUGUUUUAUCAGAAUUUUUAUACUGCAAGCUUUAUUCUGGGCUAAGAAGAUUAGCUAUAUCUAGUAGCAUUGAUAGAGUAUGAAUGAAAGCUGUAGUAAUGCAAGUGUGAGCUCGACCUCAAGUUUGAAUAGCAGCUUCCCAGACACAGAGGAUGACCAAACUAUUGCCAGCAUCUUAGCAGAAGAGGAAAACUCUCAAGUUGCUGGAAGGCUUGGGAAGAGACUCUCUCAUUUGGAUUCCAUACCGCACACUCCCCGAGUCAAUGGUGAAAUUCCUGAUGUGAAUGAUGCAACCUUAGACCAUCAGAGGUUAUCUGAAAGAUUGGCCACAUAUGGUUUAGCAGAACUGCAAAUUGAGGGCGAUGGGAAUUGCCAGUUUCGAUCAUUAGCAGACCAGCUGCUUCGAAGUCCAGAUUACCACAAGCAUGUAAGGAAGCAAGUAGUCAAACAGCUAAAGCAUUUCAGAAAGUUAUACGAAGGUUAUGUGCCGAUGAAAUACAAAAGCUACCUGAAGAAAAUGAAAAAAUCAGGGGAAUGGGGGGACCAUGUUACUCUACAAGCAGCAGCAGAUCGAUUUGGAGCCAAGAUUUGUUUGGUCACAUCUUUUCGAGACACUUGCUAUAUCGAGAUCAUUCCAAAAGACAAGAAUCCUACCAGAGAAAAGAAAGGAUUACUUCAGUAGAAAAAUGACGCAUGUCAGCAAAAAGUGACCCAUAUCAGAAAAUAUGUGCAACAUCAGCAAAAAAAGAUGAUGUCAGAGAUUUGGCUAAGCUUUUGGAGUGAAGUGCAUUACAAUUCAUUAUAUGCAGUUGGAGAUGUGCCCACCGGAAAGACAAGAAGAAAGCAUUGGCUUUUCUAGAUAAUUUGGCAAGCCAUCAUGAGGUGAAGUUAUAAUUUCCACUGUUCUCUCAAUUUUAUAUUUCUGUAUAUGUUCUCAAAUUGGAAAGCUUCUACUGUAAUAGCAGUAAAACUUCGUACUCGUAUACCAUGUCCAGGUUCUCCUUUUCUUUUCUUUUCUUUUUCUUCUUUUACUAUUAGCCUUCCUGUACAGAAAAUUACUCAGCAAGAAACUUGUAUGCAAAAAUAUCCGACCAUACUGCUAUGGCCAAGUGCACUGUUUCAGUCUGAAGGAAUGAAUAUUUUAUUAUCAUGAAAAACUAGAUACAUUGUUUUUUUCUUAA
Ricinus communis (castor bean) is the source of this 1435-nucleotide RNA transcript. It is a transcript of the gene named OVARIAN TUMOR DOMAIN-containing deubiquitinating enzyme 11, with no coding region annotated. The transcript has 11 exons. NCBI's taxonomy places the organism in Eukaryota, Viridiplantae, Streptophyta, Magnoliopsida, Malpighiales, Euphorbiaceae. The record is from RefSeq and is a predicted model, not a curated record.